GACGAACGCUGGCGGCGUGCUUAACACAUGCAAGUCGAACGGUAAGGCUCUUCGGGGUACACGAGUGGCGAACGGGUGAGUAACACGUGGGUGAUCUGCCCUGCACUUCGGGAUAAGCCUGGGAAACUGGGUCUAAUACCGGAUAGGACUCCGGACUGCAUGGUCUGGGGUGGAAAGCUUUUGCGGUGUGGGAUGGGCCCGCGGCCUAUCAGCUUGUUGGUGGGGUGAUGGCCUACCAAGGCGACGACGGGUAGCCGGCCUGAGAGGGUGACCGGCCACACUGGGACUGAGAUACGGCCCAGACUCCUACGGGAGGCAGCAGCGGGGAAUAUUGCACAAUGGGCGCAAGCCUGAUGCAGCGACGCCGCGUGAGGGAUGACGGCCUUCGGGUUGUAAACCUCUUUCAGCAUCGACGAAGCGAAAGUGACGGUAGGUGCAGAAGAAGGACCGGCCAACUACGUGCCAGCAGCCGCCGUAA
RNAcentral lists this ribosomal RNA (478 nucleotides) under uncultured bacterium. RNAcentral's name for it is "partial 16S ribosomal RNA". It matches the Rfam family "Bacterial small subunit ribosomal RNA", at positions 28 to 523 of the family's 1533-position model. The record is from RNAcentral.